This 29-nucleotide non-coding RNA is filed under the name Bombyx mori (domestic silkworm). Lineage: Eukaryota; Metazoa; Arthropoda; Insecta; Lepidoptera; Bombycidae. The record is from RNAcentral.
UUCCGGUUCACAAGAGCCAUUGUUGCUGA